Molecule: ribosomal RNA, 727 nt
Filed under: Alteromonadales bacterium HOT3E6
Lineage: Bacteria; Pseudomonadati; Pseudomonadota; Gammaproteobacteria; Alteromonadales
Description: bacterial SSU rRNA
Rfam family: Bacterial small subunit ribosomal RNA
Source: RNAcentral
UGACGAGUGGCGGACGGGUGAGUAAUGCUUGGGAACUUGCCUUUGCGAGGGGGAUAACAGUUGGAAACGACUGCUAAUACCGCAUAAUGUCUUCGGACCAAACGGGGCUUCGGCUCCGGCGCAAAGAGAGGCCCAAGUGAGAUUAGCUAGUUGGUAAGGUAACGGCUUACCAAGGCGACGAUCUCUAGCUGUUCUGAGAGGAAGAUCAGCCACACUGGGACUGAGACACGGCCCAGACUCCUACGGGAGGCAGCAGUGGGGAAUAUUGCACAAUGGGGGAAACCCUGAUGCAGCCAUGCCGCGUGUGUGAAGAAGGCCUUCGGGUUGUAAAGCACUUUCAGUUGUGAGGAAAAGUUAGUAGUUAAUACCUGCUAGCCGUGACGUUAACAACAGAAGAAGCACCGGCUAACUCCGUGCCAGCAGCCGCGGUAAUACGGAGGGUGCGAGCGUUAAUCGGAAUUACUGGGCGUAAAGCGCACGCAGGCGGUUUGUUAAGCUAGAUGUGAAAGCCCCGGGCUCAACCUGGGAUGGUCAUUUAGAACUGGCAGACUAGAGUCUUGGAGAGGGGAGUGGAAUUCCAGGUGUAGCGGUGAAAUGCGUAGAUAUCUGGAGGAACAUCAGUGGCGAAGGCGACUCNCUGGCCAAAGACUGACGCUCAUGUGCGAAAGUGUGGGUAGCGAACAGGAUUAGAUACCCUGGUAGUCCACACCGUAAACGCUGUCUACUA